AUGUGUUUCGUUUCUUGAUCCUGUUGACGAGUAUUUUUUAAAGUACAUGACUACGUCAAAAAUAUAUUGCCCAUAGAUUGUUAAGAUUCCAAACUGUGGAAAAACGAGUUUUACUGAGUCUAAUCUUUUUAACUUCAUUAUUAUUCUGAGAGCUCUUUUUUGUUGUAAUAGUAUCUUAUCAAGAGUGGUACAGGGAUUUCAUUGUCUGUAUACUGCAGACAUCUGUCAAUUGCCGCAAAGCAAAAAGGCCGGGGGAUAUCUUUUUUACAACCUGAGAAACAUGUUUAUCCCAUGAUAAGCUGCUAUCAAUAUCAAGGCCUGAGAAUUUUGUGCCAUCCACUAGUUCUAAGGUUUCGCCAUUUAUUUCAACAUUUGGGGACCAAUGAUUAAUUCUUUGCCUUGUAGAAAAAGGAACUACAAUGGACUUGCUGGCGUUUAAAAGAAGAUUCCUAUUAUUUAGAAAUUUAUUAAUGGAAUACAAGCCAACAGCGGAUGCUGCUUCAAUCUCUUCAAUGGAUUCACCCGAGAAGAUGAUGUUUGCAUCAUCAGCAUAAAGACAAACAGCAGCUUUCCCCUGGACCAC
Molecule: long non-coding RNA, 583 nt
Organism: Nilaparvata lugens (brown planthopper)
Lineage: Eukaryota; Metazoa; Arthropoda; Insecta; Hemiptera; Delphacidae
Exons: 3
Source: RefSeq, a predicted model, not a curated record